RNAcentral lists this ribosomal RNA (495 nucleotides) under uncultured bacterium. Its description in RNAcentral is "partial 16S ribosomal RNA". It matches the Rfam family "Bacterial small subunit ribosomal RNA", at positions 28 to 507 of the family's 1533-position model. The record is from RNAcentral.
GACGAACGCUGGCGGCGUGCCUAAUACAUGCAAGUCGAACGCUGAAGGAGGAGCUUGCUUCUCUGGAUGAGUUGCGAACGGGUGAGUAACGCGUAGGUAACCUGCCUGGUAGCUGGGGAUAACUAUUGGAAACGAUAGCUAAUACCGCAUAAGAGUAGAUGUUGCAUUACAUUUGCUUAAAAGGUGCAAUUGCAUCACUACCAGAUGGCCCUGCGUUGUAUUAGCUAGUUGGUGGGGUAACGGCUUACCAAGGCGACGAUACAUAGCCGACCUGGGAGGGUGAUCAGCCACACUGGGACUGAGACACGGCACAGACGCCUACGGGAGGCAGCAGUAGGGGAACUGCGGCAAAGGACGGAAGUCUGGCCGAGCAAAGCCGCGGGAGUGAAGAAGGGUGUCGGAUCGUAAAGCUCGGUUGUAAGAGAAGAACGAGUGUGAGAGUGGAAAGUUCACACUGUGACGGUAGCUUACCAGAAAGGGACGGCUAACUACGUG